CUGGCAGGUGGGGAGGCCAUGGAUUCAGUAACCAGUACCACACACAAAAAAAGCAAAUGCAUAACUUUCUUUUUCUAAAAUGCCACCACAUGGUAGAAACUUGACAUCAAUUAACUUGAGAUUUUCUCCCCUCACCACUUCCCACACAAUCCAGAAUAUUUAGGUGGUGCCUCUGGCCCACACCUGGUUCUUCCCAGGUGUUCCUUGUUCUCCCCAGGUGCUUCUUAUUGUCAGGCAAUCGAGGUCUACCUUAUAGACCAUCUUUUCUGAAACUGCUAAGGCUCUCCUGGAUCCAGACAAUUGUCUAGUCUCAGGAAGGAGAGAAAUCUGGCUCUGAUUUACUGUUGUAUUCCACAAACUUUGAGUCCCUUCAAGGCAUUGUCUUUAAAUUCCAGAAUCUUAAUUUUGGGUUUUUUAAAUACUCUUCUCUGAGAUGCUUCUUUGCUAUGGUUUCAAAGUUUAUUUUGACAUGCAAAAAAAAAAAAGAAUCAGGAAUCUGUGUUUUCUUUUGUUCUUUCCUUGAGGCACUAAAGCAAUAAAGGGAAAAUAACUAGUCAUUGGAAUAGUGAGAACGAGGGGAGGGGAAAAAAAUAACAGGAAGGAGUCUAGGGACAGAGGAGGAAAACAAUAGUUAAUGUUCAAAACACUGUCCUGCCACAUACAUUUGCUGUUCUUUUCUUAAUACAGCUUCUCAAGUAAUUCUCAAACUUGAAAGUGUCUAAGAAAUUGUUUGAGGUUAAAAUGCAUAGUCCUCAUUUUAUUUGGAGAAUCCUACAUUGGACUAGUGGAAACAGG
This 795-nucleotide long non-coding RNA is filed under the name Marmota monax (woodchuck). The record is from RNAcentral. Lineage: Eukaryota; Metazoa; Chordata; Mammalia; Rodentia; Sciuridae.